Molecule: ribosomal RNA, 464 nt
Filed under: uncultured bacterium
Lineage: Bacteria
Description: bacterial SSU rRNA
Rfam family: Bacterial small subunit ribosomal RNA
Source: RNAcentral
GACGAACGCUGGCGGCGCGCCUAACACAUGCAAGUCGAACGAGAGAUGAAGAGCUUGCUCUUCAAAUCGAGUGGCGAACGGGUGAGUAACGCGUGGGUAACCUGCCUUAUACAGGGGGAUAACAGUUGGAAACGACUGCUAAUACCGCAUAAGCGCACGGUAUCGCAUGAUACAGUGUGAAAAACUCCGGUGGUAUAAGAUGGACCCGCGUCUGAUUAGCUUGUUGGUGAGGUAACGGCCCACCAAGGCGACGAUCAGUAGCCGGCCUGAGAGGGUGAACGGCCACAUUGGGACUGAGACACGGCCCAAACUCCUACGGGAGGCAGCAGUGGGGAAUAUUGCACAAUGGGGGAAACCCUGAUGCAGCGACGCCGCGUGAGUGAUGAAGUAUUUCGGUAUGUAAAACUCUAUCAGCAGGGAAGAUAAUGACGGUACCUGACUAAGAAGCACCGGCUAAAUACGUG